Molecule: transfer RNA, 66 nt
Filed under: Amblyomma geoemydae
Lineage: Eukaryota; Metazoa; Arthropoda; Arachnida; Ixodida; Ixodidae
Description: tRNA-Met
Source: RNAcentral
AAUAAAGUAAGCUAAAUUAAGCUAGUGGGUUCAUACCCCAAAAAUGAAGAACCUAUUCCUUUAUUA